This is a long non-coding RNA of Magallana angulata, 905 nucleotides long. RefSeq lists it as uncharacterized. The transcript has 4 exons. Lineage: Eukaryota; Metazoa; Mollusca; Bivalvia; Ostreida; Ostreidae. The record is from RefSeq and is a predicted model, not a curated record.
AUAAAUGUAGAUAUUGUCUAGUUCCAUUAGGGUAAGAUUCUUUACUCAACUAUAUGAUGUGAUAUAAAUUCAAACUUAAAAUGUGUUAUGUUUAGUAUGCAAAUAUACUUUUCGUGUUUUGUUUUUUUUUGGUCUUAAACUAAAAAAGCAAAAAAUCUGUUUAAGCUUGAUAUUCAGUUCAUUCUAGCCAGUUGACCGCUUCAUUAUCCUUGAAUCAGGCAAAUGAUAAAAAGAUGUAAAAUGGCUACUGGAUUUUUGAAAUGUGCUAAGUUACAAUUAGACACCUAAGCUAUGUAACAUUUAGUUAUUUGUAUCACGUCCAAUUUUAACAAUUUACCAAAACUUGACCCUUUAUCAUCAAACUCCCAGAUGUUGAUUUCAAACGUAUUUAAUAAAAUUGUCACGCAAUAUUUUGGGCAUAUGCACCUACUGGUGAAGCAUAUAAUUUUGAUACUUUGCCAAAUUCCUCGAUGCCGUUUGUUCAAGAAGAACCAAACUGGGCUAGGUCGGUUAACAUUUUCUCGCACUGGACACCGCAGUUUAGGGUUGGGAAGUUAAGUUAUUAAUUGUCAUCGUGGUAAUACCGAUUUUGUUUUAUAACGAAAGUAAAUUUGCUGAGGAUGAAAAACAUUGGCAAACCAUAUGGGCAAGAUUCGAGAAGAUUUGAAUUGGAACAUGUCUGAAGAGUCUCAUCUACAUACUUUGACCACCAGAUGUACAAAGUAGAUCAGUCUACGUCUACCUCUAUAGACACCAGGUAAAGAGGGGGCCACAACAUUACCUACCUACAUCAACGAAACCGAGGGACUCGUCCAUUUAUUUAAAUAAAAAUGUCAACACAUAUGAAGCAUGGUGUUCUAUGUUUGUAAUAAAUCUGUUUAUUUUACCUGACCGAGUUACGGGGU